GCUGUAGCUCCAUGGCAGAGCAUCUGCCUUGAAUGCAGAAGGUCUCAGGUUCAACCCCCAAAGGCAUCUCCA
Molecule: non-coding RNA, 72 nt
Organism: Podarcis lilfordi (Lilford's wall lizard)
Lineage: Eukaryota; Metazoa; Chordata; Lepidosauria; Squamata; Lacertidae
Source: the annotation of a GenBank genome assembly